Oncorhynchus keta (chum salmon) is the source of this 7423-nucleotide long non-coding RNA. RefSeq lists it as uncharacterized. The transcript is spliced from 3 exons. The record is from RefSeq and is a predicted model, not a curated record. NCBI's taxonomy places the organism in Eukaryota, Metazoa, Chordata, Actinopteri, Salmoniformes, Salmonidae.
GAUGGAACGGCGUGUGCGUUCAUGUUGCCUCAUUUCCUGAGUCUGCCCAAAGACAGGGAGAUACGGGGGGACAGUGCGAGGGAGAGAGCGCCCUGGAGAAAGAGAGCGAAAGAGAGAGGGGAGAGAGAGACAGACAGACACAGAGGGGGAGGCUGGUUCCUGAUACCAAAACACGGAAAAGCAGGGGAGUGAAAGAGAGAGAAAAAAGGCUGGCUGAGACAGGGAGAGAGGGGGAGAAAACAGGGGAAUAACACUCAAAGAGACACAAAAAGCGUAGGUGAUGAAAGAAGAUAAUACUAUGUUCUUCUGAACAUUCCCCUUUCUUUAUCUCUCACGCUGUCACAUCGGAUUGGACUCCAAAGAAUCGACACCGCGUCUAUCCCAGACCCCAUGGGUUAACAGGUAUGUCUGCCAUGCUCUUUCAUUGCUUUUCCUUCAUCAGCCCUUCCGUUUCUAUUCAAUUGCCUAGUGUCAAUGUAUGUAUUUUAAAAGCUGCUGAUUUUAUACGGAGACGCUGUCACAAGGUUCAGGCUAUGUGCUUCAUUUUACAACAAUGUCAUUUUCAUAAUAGUUUUACGUUCAGAUAGAGAGCGUGCUUGCCACACGUUAUAACCAUUGAACAAUGUAACUCUUCUGAAUGCAUGUGACAAGUUGAAGCGGUGUAUAUUGGUUUUACGGUUAAUAACGGGUGGUUGUCGGUGUGUUGGUAUCAUGUCACGGACCGCACAAGUGUAUUUUGACAGUUCUUCGGUGCGAUGCAUUUAAGCAUCAUGCUAAAAGUAGUCCGCCUACCUGUUUCAUGUUGCCGAGUUAACUGACAAGCCAGAUGUCUACUUGCGUGUAUGUUUCUUGUUUUUGUUAUUAUGAGAUGCAGUCAUUUGCUAAUGUAGGAUAAUUGUGCACUUGCAUGAGAUUGGGAUAACACGAUAUAGGCUAAAGGCACAUGUAUUUGCAGAAUAAAACGCUGUCACCAUAGGCUAUUUGUUUCCGCUGUUAAGGAACCCCUCUUUCCCUAACUGCAUUUGUUAACCCGCGAAUGUUGAGUUAACUGUCAACGUUUUGACCCCAAUAUUCUAGGUCUUUGCGGGAUUGUCACGGCAGUGAGCUGUCACUGAUCGUGAUGCCUUGGCUGUAUAUCGUUCUAUGCGGUCUGUCGGGGCAUUUAAAGGCUCAAUGCAACCAUUUUUAUCGCAAUAUCAAAUCAUUUCUGGGUAACAAUUCAGUAACCUACUUUUAUUUUAUAUUUAUUUAUUUAAAAAAUCUAUAAAAAAUAAGCUUCUUAGCUUAGAGCUAUUUCUCAAGCACUAAUUUUGCUAGGACUGUCUGGAAGUAGUCUGAUUGAGGGCCCUAAUUGAGGUUAAUGGGAGGGAUAUGUAACCUGAACAUUAGCUGUUAUUGGCAGAGGUUUGAAACACUCUUUGUUAUUGGUCUAUUAACAUUUACUGCUUGGUGAUGAUGCCAGGCAGGCCAAAACUCCAUCCCACCAAAACAGGCUGACAUGUCAGUUGGUCUUUUCAAACAGGCUUAAACUAAAAGGCGUUAUCAUUCUUUUUUAUAAGUUCACAGUAUUAUUGCAACCUCAUAGUGUGGAAAUAUAUAUAAAACUUAGCAAAUCACGUUUUUGACUGCCCUGAGCCUUUAAAAUGAAAUGCUGGCAGUUUGGCAGGCAAGGGCUUAAACCCCCCACCCCUUCUCCUUCCCUCAGUUAACCUCUGAAAGGGGGAUUUCUCCAGCUGGAAAUUUCUGCUGCGUCAACACCCAACCCCAGAGUAGGCUACCAGACAAGAGGGAGAGUUCAGGUUUCAGACUCAAUGGUUUUUGGGCAAUGUUGUAGCGAUAUGUAAUAUUAAUCUGAUCCGUCCGCAGGCGCUUCUUGAGUUGAGUUGAAAGUAUGGCGUCAAGUGUUUUCAUUUGGUGCUGAAUGAAGCUGAAAUGCCAAACCGUUCUGCUGAUAUGCUUUGCCCGUGUCUCGGUUAUUGUGUAUGUGUCUCUGUCGGUCUGUGUCUGCCCCCUCAGAGUGGUCAGUUCCGUCUUCCUCCAUUUUCUACCGUGCUCAGAAAAUGAAAGGGGAACAACACCACUUUAUUCAUGCGCUGACAACAACACAAUGUCUCGGCGCACGCCAGGUGCGAUGUCAACAAUGAAGUCGCGCAAAUCGUCUGUUUGAUCAAAUCUAUCGAUGUCUGAUGUCCUAUGCUACACCUUUCCCACAACAGUCUGCUAAUAUGUUUUCCCCUAACCUUUUGUAUUUCGAUCAUUUAACUCCAUUAGUUCUAAAAUUUAAUUGCAAAAUCACACUUGUAUUUGGUUUCCUUCUAUACGUACAGUGUUUUAUUAUUCCGAGAUUCUGAUCAUAUUUUAUAGACCUAAUAACUUUAAUUUAUAGCCUAAGCAUUUAGACCUAUACAUGCGUUAAAAGCCUAUACAUUCUCCCGAGUGGCGCAGCGGUCUAAGGCACUGCCUCUCAGUGCUUGAGGCGUCACUACAAACACCCUGGUUCGAUUCCAGGCUGUAUCAUAGCUGCCGUGAUUGGGAGUACCAUGCAGCGGCUCAGGGUUUCGCUGGUGUAGGCCGUCAUUGUAAAUAAGAAUUUGUUCUUAACUGACUUGCCUAGUUAAAUAAAGAUAAAAAAAAAAACAACAUUAUAAAUGCUAUUCAAUUAAAGUUGUAAAGAAUUCAAAACCACACAACCUGUAUGUUGCUUUGUUUUGCAUCAACCAUGGUGGUUAUACCUACUAAAUAAACAAUGAUUAGUCCUACCAUUUAACAUCUUGGUCACAAAGAUGUGUGAAAGUAAUAUAUGACAAAUCUAAUAUAUAUAUAUAUUUUUUAAUUACAUUUUUUUAAACCCACUUGUGUCAGACUAUUUUAAUUAUCUAUCACAGUAUAAGUUAAAACAAUAGCCUGUCAUAGGCAGGUUCCUUUAUUAGUCAACGCAAUUGGGUAAAAUGGAGAGAUGGUCAGAGAGAGAGAGAGAGGAAAGAAAAACAAGGCCAAGAUUAAAUUGUUAAAGUAGCCAAUGGAAACCUGGACUGGUUCCUAAUUUGGGAGGUGUCAAGCAUGGCAGCUAGUACGGAACCCUCAUUAACAGUGACGUCUUCACCUGGGUGAAUAUCUGCCAAGGUGUAAGCUAAUAAGGAAAGGCUGAGCCUAAUUUGAUAAGCCUGCUGAAGUCUUCAAUUAUGCAGCUAUACAGUAUGUGUAUUUAUUUAAUGACUGUUAAUGAAUUACUAACAAUUAACAUAAUAUUCAUUAUAUUUGUUAUAUGUUUCUUAAAACUGCAUUAUUGGUUAAGGACUUGUAAGUAAGCAUUUCACUGUAAGGUCUACUACCCCUGUUGUGUUCGGCGCAUGUGACAAAUAACAUUUGAUUUGAUUGUUCUAUUUAAUUAUGUGGCUAAAACGACAGUAACCCUAUAAUUCUUUAAACGUCUUUUGUGACAUUGUCAGGUGUAUUUUAGGGGCCUGGUUGUAAUCUGGUAAUGGGAUGUAAUUUCAACCAGAAAACCACCAGAAUAUGACGUAUUUCAUGAAUGCCCCGAUGUCAUCAUGACCCAAAAUAAAUACAUCUGUUGAUGUGAGGAAACAUCACAAUAAAGACAUGAAACGUUUUUUUUACCUGGUUGGGGGUUCGGGUACUGAUCUGUUGACGUGAGGACAUCGUUUGCGAAUCCAUGUUUAAGACUAAGAAUCAACAAUUCUGCCGUAUGUGUACCAACUGUGCCAAGACAAUUACAUUCUAUUCAUAUUAUCAACUUGUUUUCAAAACAUCUAGUGACUCAGCUUAACCAAUCGCCACUAGUACUUUAUUCAAUGCUAAUCGCCUCAACAGCAGAUGCUUGGAUCUGUUUGUGUUUGGAAGCUUCUAGAUGUUAUGAGGUGAAUUGCCAGACCUGUAUAUACAGUAUCUGACCUAGCUCCAGCUCCAGCCAAGCAAUAUAGGGAGAGUCUAGGCGGCCCUCUUCUCUGGCUACUCUGCUCACUUCCCCCCAGGUGUGGCUGUGUUAUGUCACCACUGGGCUGGAGGACGGGGGUGUGUGUGUGUGUGUGUGUGUGUGUGUGUGUGUGUGUGUGUGUGUGUGUGUGUGUGUGUGUGUGUGUGUGUGUGUGUGUGUGUGUGUGUGUGUGUGUGUGUGUGUGUGUGUGUGUGUGUGUGUGUGUGUGUGUGUGUGUGUGUGUGUGUGUGUGUGUGUGUUGAAAGUAUGAGGGAGCAGGAGCAUCAAGUGUUAAAUAGACAGUGAGAUGUUUAUUGAGGGUGGUUGUUAAUCUGAACAUUUGCACCGAUAGGAGAGUUUGGAAGAGGUUAGAGGGAAAGAGAGAGGAGAGUUUGGAAGAGGUUAGAGGGAAAGAGAGAGGAGAGUUUGGAAGAGGUUAGAGGGAAAGAGAGAGGAGAGUUUGGAAGAGGUUAGAGGGAAAGCGAGAGGAGAGUUUGGAAGAGGUUAGAGGGAAAGAGAGAGGAGAGUUUGGAAGAGGUUAGAGUGAAAGAGAGAGGAGAGUUUGGAAGAGGUUAGAGGGAAAGAGAGAGGAGAGUUUGGAAGAGGUUAGAGGGAAAGCGAGAGGAGAGUUUGGAAGAGGUUAGAGGGAAAGAGAGAGGAGAGUUUGGAAGAGGUUAGAGGGAAAGAGAGAGGAGAGUUUGGAAGAGGUUAGAGGGAAAGAGAGAGGAGAGUUUGGAAGAGGUUAGAGGGAAAGAGAGAGGAGAGUUUGGAAGAGGUUAGAGGGAAAGAGAGAGGAGAGUUUGGAAGAGGUUAGAGGGAAAGAGAGAGGAGAGUUUGGAAGAGGUUAGAGGGAAAGCGAGAGGAGAGUUUGGAAGAGGUUAGAGGGAAAGAGAGAGGAGAGUUUGGAAGAGGUUAGAGUGAAAGAGAGAGGAGAGUUUGGAAGAGGUUAGAGGGAAAGAGAGAGGAGAGUUUGGAAGAGGUUAGAGGGAAAGCGAGAGGAGAGUUUGGAAGAGGUUAGAGGGAAAGAGAGAGGAGAGUUUGGAAGAGGUUAGAGUGAAAGAGAGAGGAGAGUUUGGAAGAGGUUAGAGGGAAAGAGAGAGGAGAGUUUGGAAGAGGUUAGAGGGAAAGCGAGAGGAGAGUUUGGAAGAGGUUAGAGGGAAAGAGAGAGGAGAGUUUGGAAGAGGUUAGAGGGAAAGAGAGAGGAGAGUUUGGAAGAGGUUAGAGGGAAAGAGAGAGGAGAGUUUGGAAGAGGUUAGAGGGAAAGAGAGAGGAGAGUUUGGAAGAGGUUAGAGGGAAAGAGAGAGGAGAGUUUGGAAGAGGUUAGAGGGAAAGCGAGAGGAGAGUUUGGAAGAGGUUAGAGGGAAAGAGAGAGGAGAGUUUGGAAGAGGUUAGAGUGAAAGAGAGAGGAGAGUUUGGAAGAGGUUAGAGGGAAAGAGAGAGGAGAGUUUGGAAGAGGUUAGAGGGAAAGCGAGAGGAGAGUUUGGAAGAGGUUAGAGGGAAAGCGAGAGGAGAGUUUGGAAGAGGUUAGAGGGAAAGCGAGAGGAGAGUUUGGAAGAAGGAAAGCGAGAUGGCUUGAAUUUUGCUCUGACAUGCACUGUCAACAGUGGGACCUUAUAUAGACAGGUGUGUGCCUUUCCAAAUAAUGUCCAGUCAAUUGAGUUUACCACAGGUGGACUCCAAUCAAGUUGUAGAAACAUCUCAAGGAUGAUCAAUGGAAACAGGAUUCACCUGAGCUCAACUUUGAGUUUCAUAGCAAAGCACUUAUGUAACUAAUUUACACAGCACUUAUGUAAAUAAGGUAUUUCAGGUUUUUUUAUUUUAAUUAAUGUGCAAACAUUUCUAAAAACCUGUUUUCGCUUUGUCAUUAUGGGGUAUUGUAUGUAGGACAUAUAUUUUGAGUCCAUUUUAGAAUAAGGCUGUAAUGUAACAAAAUGUGGAAACAUGUAAGGGGUCUGAAUAGUUCCAGAAAGCACUGUAAGUGGGGGAAGGCUGAGGAGGAAGUGGGGUUGCAGGCUGACACUACACAGCUCUGCUCAGUGUGUGUGUGUCUGGGUGUGUGUGUGGGGGUGGAGUGCUUUGUCCUCAUGGCUUUAGUCCCAGGCUGUGGGCUGAACUGUGUGGUAGCAGGUUAGAAGGUUUUAGUCCCAGGCUGUGGGCUGAACUGUGUGGUAGCAGGUUAGAAGGUUUUAGUGCCAGGCUGUAGGCCGAACUGUGUGGUAGCAGGUUAGAAGGUUUUAGUCCCAGGCUGUGGGCUGAACUGUGUGGUAGCAGGUUAGAAGGUUUUAGUCCCAGGCUGUGGGUUGAACUGUGUGGUAGCAGGUUAGAAGGCUUUAGUCCCAGGCUGUGGGAUGAACUGUGUGGUAGCAGGUUAGAAGGUUUUAGUCCCAGGCUGUGGGCUGAACUGUGUGGUAGCAGGUUAGAAGGUUUUAGUGCCAGGCUGUAGGCUGAACUGUGUGGUAGCAGGUUAGAAGGUUUUAGUGCCAGGCUGUAGGCUGAACUGUGUGGUAGCAGGUUAGAAGGUUUUAGUCCCAGGCUGUGGGCUGAACUGUGUGGUAGCAGGUUAGAAGGUUUUAGUCCCAGGCUGUGGGCUGAACUGUGUGGUAGCAGGUUAGAAGGUUUUAGUCCCAGGCUGUGGGCUGAACUGUGUGGUAGCAGGUUAGAAGGUUUUAGUCCCAGGCUGUGGGCUGAACUGCGUGGUAGCAGGUUAGAAGGCUUUAGUCCCAGGCUGUGGGAUGAACUGUGUGGUAGCAGGUUAGAAGGCUUUAGCUGCUAAAGCACAGGGGACCUACUGUAAACUGCUCUCUCAUUUACACAGCACUUUGUGUGUCUGUAUGUGUGUUCCUCUCUCUGUGUUGCUUUGUUCUAAACUACCACUGCAUAAGUCAUUGAAAGAAACACAUUCUCUCUCUCUCUCUCUUUCCCUCUCUCUCUCUCUCUCUCGCUCUCUCUUUCUCUCCCUCCCUCCCCUCCAUCUCUCUCUCUCUCUUUCCCUCUCUCUCUCUCUCACCUUCUCUCCCUCCCUCCUCUCUCUCUUUCUCUCCUUUCUCUUUCUCUCUCUCUCUCUCUCUCUCUCUCUCUCUCUCUCUCUCUCUCUCUGCCUCUCCCUCUCUCUUUUGCCUCUCUCUCUCUCUCUAACAGUUUUCCAGCCCUGAUCCCUUCAGGAGCACACUUGUUAAUGAGAACACCGGUUUGGCUAACACACUACAAAAUGAGUAAUUUACACUCGCUAGAAUGCCAUGUACACAUCUCAUUUUACACAUCAGGUCUCUGUGAGACACUGACAACUCUCUCUUUAUGUUAAUAUUUGCAUUCUUACGUUUGAUUAGUGUCAUGGCUGUUUGCUUCUUUCUAACCUUCCCUGUCUGAAUACACCAUGUUCCCAUCAGCUUUAGCUCAUUGUGCAGACAGCUGAAUGCAGGGGCUCCUCCUUUCCCGGGGCUGUGUGUUUAGAUGGGGGUGGGGUAGGUUUGUGUGAUAAUGGGUGAGGGG